Molecule: ribosomal RNA, 497 nt
Filed under: uncultured bacterium
Lineage: Bacteria
Description: partial 16S ribosomal RNA
Rfam family: Bacterial small subunit ribosomal RNA
Source: RNAcentral
GAUGAACGCUGGCGGCGUGCCUAAUACAUGCAAGUCGAGCGAACAGACGAGGAGCUUGCUCCUCUGACGUUAGCGGCGGACGGGCGAGUAACACGUGGAUAACCUACCUAUAUGACGGGGAUAACUUCGGGAAACCGGAGCUAAUACUGGAUAAUAUAUUGUACGGCAUGGAUCAAUAGUGAAUGACGGCUUUCCUGUCACUUAUAGAUGGAUCCGCGCCGGAUUAGCUAGUUGGUAAGGUAACGGCUUACCAAGGCGACGAUGCGUAGCCGAGCUGAGAGGAUGAUCGGCCACACUGGAACUGAGACACGGUCCAGACUCCUACGGGAGGCAGCAGUGGGGAAUCUUCGGCAAUGGGCGAAAGCCUGACGCAGCAACGCCGCGUGGGUGAUGAAGGUCUUCGGAUCGUAAAACUCUGUUGUUGGGGAAGAACAGAUGUGGGUGUAACUAUGGCCGUCUUGACGGUACCUAAACAGUAAGCCACGGCUAACUACGUG